CCUACGGGAGGCAGCAGUCGAGAAUCAUUCACAAUGGGGGAAACCCUGAUGGUGCGACGCCGCGUGGGGGAAUGAAGGUCUUCGGAUUGUAAACCCCUGUCAUGUGGGAGCAAAUUAAAAAGAUAGUACCACACGAGGAAGAGACGGCUAACUCUGUGCCAGCAGCCGCGGUAAUACAGAGGUCUCAAGCGUUGUUCGGAAUCACUGGGCGUAAAGCGUGCGUAGGCUGUUUCGUAAGUCGUGUGUGAAAGGCGCGGGCUCAACCCGCGGACGGCACAUGAUACUGCGAGACUAGAGUAAUGGAGGGGGAACCGGAAUUCUCGGUGUAGCAGGGAAAUGCGUAGAUAUCGAGAGGAACACUCGUGGCGAAGGCGGGUUCCUGGACAUUAACUGACGCUGAGGCACGAAGGCCAGGGGAGCGAAAGGGAUUAGAUACCCGGGUAGUC
Molecule: ribosomal RNA, 446 nt
Filed under: uncultured bacterium
Lineage: Bacteria
Description: partial 16S ribosomal RNA
Rfam family: Bacterial small subunit ribosomal RNA
Source: RNAcentral